RNAcentral lists this transfer RNA (65 nucleotides) under Nocticola sp. JW1 9/1. RNAcentral's name for it is "tRNA-Pro". Lineage: Eukaryota; Metazoa; Arthropoda; Insecta; Blattodea; Nocticolidae. The record is from RNAcentral.
CAAAGAGUAUUUUAAAAUAAAAUAUUAAUUUUGGAGAUUAAUGAUGAUAAUUUUAUCUUCUUUGA